Camelina sativa (false flax) is the source of this 198-nucleotide non-coding RNA. The record is from RefSeq and is a predicted model, not a curated record. Lineage: Eukaryota; Viridiplantae; Streptophyta; Magnoliopsida; Brassicales; Brassicaceae.
UAUUUCGAGGAUAGAUAUAUAUUUUUUUAAAUCUUAAUAUUCAACUUCCUUAAAUCUAGAACCACAACACUCACUUCACUUCAUAAUUCUCACUUCAUCACUCUUUCAACUCCUGGAAUCAGAAUGAAUCAAUCCGAGCAGAAUUCCUUAUGCGUGGAAAAACCUUCACAGACUUCAUCAGGUUCCUACACACCGCCA